RNAcentral lists this ribosomal RNA (209 nucleotides) under uncultured bacterium. RNAcentral describes it as "partial 16S ribosomal RNA". It matches the Rfam family "Bacterial small subunit ribosomal RNA", at positions 15 to 215 of the family's 1533-position model. The record is from RNAcentral.
GAUCCUGGCUCAGGAUGAACGCUGGCGGCAUGCCUAAUACAUGCAAGUAGAACGCUGAGGCUUGGUGCUUGCACCGAGCGGAUGAGUUGCGAACGGGUGAGUAACGCGUAGGUAACCUGCCUGGUAGCGGGGGAUAACUAUUGGAAACGAUAGCUAAUACCGCAUAACAGUCGACAUUGCAUGAUGUUGAUUUGAAAGGGGCAAUUGUC